GGGUCAGUAGGUUGGUCGUGCCACCGGUACGUACUGGUCUCACUGAUUCCUCCUUCCUGAAGAACCGUAAUGCCAUUAAUUUGGUGUUGCGGGGAAACAGGGCUGUUACUUUUAAAAAAUUAGAGUGUUUAAAGCAAGCUAACGCUUGAAUACAUUAGCAUGGAAUAAUGAAAUAGGACGAUCGAUCCUAUUUUGUUGGUUUCUAGGAUUGACGUA
This 216-nucleotide ribosomal RNA is filed under the name Glomeromycotina sp. RNAcentral describes it as "partial small subunit ribosomal RNA". The stretch from base 40 to 216 matches the Rfam family "Eukaryotic small subunit ribosomal RNA", at positions 686 to 864 of the family's 1831-position model. The record is from RNAcentral. Lineage: Eukaryota; Fungi; Glomeromycota.